GGCGGGAUUACCCGCUGAGUUUAAGCAUAUCAAUUAGC
RNAcentral lists this ribosomal RNA (38 nucleotides) under Juanulloa parasitica. Its description in RNAcentral is "partial 26S ribosomal RNA". The record is from RNAcentral. Lineage: Eukaryota; Viridiplantae; Streptophyta; Magnoliopsida; Solanales; Solanaceae.